This 1657-nucleotide long non-coding RNA is filed under the name Malus domestica (apple). Its description in RNAcentral is "long non-coding RNA (MDOM_LNC019642)". The record is from RNAcentral. Lineage: Eukaryota; Viridiplantae; Streptophyta; Magnoliopsida; Rosales; Rosaceae.
UUGGAUUCCCAUCCUCACGUGGAGUGGCCUCAAAACGAGGGAUGUGUCUUUGGUCUUGUUGUCUUCUGGUAAAGGGUUAGGGUUAAAGGCUACAAUCCACUCAAAACCACUUCCUUCCAAAACCCUAAUUAUUUUUUAUCACAAUGCCUCAUCUUUGUAUUCAAACCCACUCCCCACUUCCCAUAUCCUAUCUUUUUAUUUAGUUUCUUUUCCUUCUUUUCAUGGUUGUGGAAUGCUAGAUUUGAUUCAUUUCUCCUAUAUGGGGCCAUUGGAGGGAGGAGAUCUUUAAGCCACAUGAUCUCUCACCUUUUAUUUGAGUUUUAAAACAAUUCAUAUUUUUAAUCAAUAUUUUUUUCCUUAUUUUAAGAAGGACAACUAAUAUAUCAAUUUCUUUUGCACGUAUUCAUUCACUAGCUUCUUGGUACACGCUUAAUUAAUCUUAUAAAAAUUUAAAUAAUAUUUUUAACAUACGCAUAGGCAUACUUCUAUACGUAUGUUCAACUAAAAAUAAAAUCUUUUUUCUAUUUCUAAAUUUCUUUGUUGGAUUUUUUUAUUAAAAAAAUUAAAAAUAACAAAUGGAAAGUAACCACCCACUAAGUGGCUUUGUGUUGACCUUAACUAAUCAAUUUUAAUAUUUUAGAAUUCUAGUUAAGGGGAGGACAAAAUUUGAUAUUUUGAAUGUUUUACCAGUUUUUCCUUCUUCCUUUAUAUUAUGAAUUUGUCAUGCAUAAUGUAUUUCGCUUAUCAACGUGAAGGGGACCUGAAAUUCGAACUGAGGAUCUUUUCCAAUAUCUAAAAGAAAAUUGUUACUGAAAAAAAAAAAAACUUGGUAGUGAAAAUAUCUACAAAACUUUGAUGAUUAUUUUACACAAGGAAAGAGGGGGAAAACAGAUUUAGGACGGUUGAUAUUAGCAAAAGCCUAUAAAUAGAAAGUAAAUUGGCAAUACAAGAAAGAAAAAAAAUCCACACGACAAAGUUGGCGUGCCAUAAUAGACAAUGCUAUACACCCAACUUUCUUUUGCUAAUCAUUACCUAAAUUACAACAUUGGGUUCAAUGUUGGGAAGAAGAAUUUGGGAGAAAUAAUUGAGUUUUUGAGCACUUCUAUUUUAAAUUUGAAUGCGAUACCUCCAACCCAAUUUCAUCCAUGUACUGAUAUAUCGCAGCACAUGAGUGAGUGUACGAGGAUACAAAAAUUUAUUCUAAAAAUGAAAUUAUGAAUUCCACAUAAAUAAAAUAAUUUUUUUUUUUGCAUGUACUUACAAGUAGUUGAGUUACUUUUCAUAUUGUUACUUGGUUUAUGGUGGAUCUCAAUUUUUUUUCAUGAUAUCAUAAUAAGUUCUCCCACGUGUAAAGCCCAAUGGUCAUAUGUCCUCCACACUACCAACUUUGUGUUGUUUAUGUAUUAGACUUGAAAAUUUAUCAUACGUGAGAUAGCGUAUUGAUAGUAUAAUCUCACAUCAAAAGAAGUAAUUUUUCAUGUGCAUACUUGAAUUACUUCCCAUACUACAAUUGGUAUUAACGGUAAAGCCUCAACUUCAAAAAUAACAUUGCAAGAGCUUAUAAAAAAAAUUAAUUUUCGAGGUACAAUCUCAAGAUUCCUUCGUUAGAUACUCGCUAGCAAUGGCAAAAAUGUUUUGACGAUCAUUUUCCCCUUUU